RNAcentral lists this ribosomal RNA (158 nucleotides) under Uwebraunia dekkeri. RNAcentral's name for it is "5.8S ribosomal RNA". It matches the Rfam family "5.8S ribosomal RNA". Rfam says of the family: 5.8S ribosomal RNA (5.8S rRNA) is a component of the large subunit of the eukaryotic ribosome. It is transcribed by RNA polymerase I as part of the 45S precursor that also contains 18S and 28S rRNA. Functionally, it is thought that 5.8S rRNA may be involved in ribosome translocation. The record is from RNAcentral. Lineage: Eukaryota; Fungi; Ascomycota; Dothideomycetes; Mycosphaerellales; Dissoconiaceae.
CAAAUCAAAACAAAACUUUCAACAACGGAUCUCUUGGUUCUGGCAUCGAUGAAGAACGCAGCGAAAUGCGAUAAGUAAUGUGAAUUGCAGAAUUCAGUGAAUCAUCGAAUCUUUGAACGCACAUUGCGCCCCCUGGUAUUCCGGGGGGCAUGCCUGUU